AGUCCCGGCUUCCGGCUCCAAGAUGGAUACACCAAAUGUGGAAGCGGGGGAGGCCCAGAACCGCCACGGAAGUGCCUUUCCACCCGCCCACGGCGUGCACCGGGGAAAGUGAUUGUGAGGAUGAAAUGAAGCCAUCGGCCUCCACCCACGGGAAUGGGGAAAGGGCGACGCUGAGGAAGCAACGCGUCGGCGUCCCUGCAGACUAGGGGCGCAAGAAAGUCUUACCCGCGAGGGACCCAGCGCCGCACCCGCUUCUACCAGACCCCACCCUCAGCAUCACGUGACCCAAGCCCUUUUCGCUCCGACUCCCGGAUGUGGUUGCCAAGACAAAGGGGAUUUGGAGAUGGAGGCUUUGUUGGAAGGAAUGCAAAAUCAGGGACAUGAAGGGGGAUUUUUGACAUCCUGUGAAGCAGAACUACAAGAGCUCAUGAAACAGAUUGACAUAAUGGUGGCUCAUAAAAAAUCUGAAUGGGAAGGGCAGACACAUGCUCUUGAAACUUGCUUGGGCAUCCGUGAACAAGAACUGAAGGCUCUUAGGGGUCAGUUGGACAUGAAACACAAUGAGGUUGUAAUGUUGCGUCAACAAGUAGAAGAACAUGAAAAAGUUAAACAAGAGAUGGCCAUGGACUAUAAGCAGGAGUUAAAGAAACUACAUGAAGAAUUAGGCAGACUGAAAAGAAGCUAUGAAAGACUACAGAAAAAGCAUAUAAGAGACUUCAGAGGAAACACCAAAAAUCACAGGGAAGAUCGAUCUGAAAUUGAGAGGUUAACUGGAAAAAUAGAGGAAUUUCGUCAGAAAUCACUGGACUGGGAGAAGCAACGCCUGAUUUAUCAGCAACAGGUAUCUUCUCUGGAAGCACAGAGGAAGGCUUUGGCAGAACAAUCAGAGAUAAUUCAGGCUCAGCUUGCCAAUCGGAAACAGAAAUUAGAGUCUGUGGAGCUGUCCAGCCAGUCGGAAAUUCAGCAUCUGAGCAGUAAGCUGGAGCGGGCCAAUGACACUAUCUGUGCCAAUGAGUUGGAAAUAGAGCGCCUCACCAUGAGGAUCAAUGACUUAGUGGGAACCAAUAUGAAUGUUAUACAAGAGCAGCGGCAAAAGGAAGAAAAAUUAAGGGAAUCUGAAAAACUGUUAGAGAUUCUCCAGGAAGAAAAGAGGGAACUGAAGGCAGUUCUUCAGUCUCAAGAAAAUUUCAUCCAUGAGGAAAGAAUGCAGAAGGAGAAGCUACAAGCAAAAUUAAAGCCAACUGACAGUCAACACACAGUACAGGCCGUGAGGUCACCAGACGAGCCGCAGGCAGAAAGGAGGUACACUUCGCAAGGGCAGGAGGACUUGGGCAACGUGCUAUCUCAGCUGGAUCUCACCCACAAUAGUGAAGAACUUCUGCAGGCAGAGGUGACUCGUUUGGAAGGCAGCUUGGAGUCUGUGAGUGCAACAUGUAAACAGCUGAGCCAAGAACUAAUGGAAAAAUAUGAAGAACUGAAGAAGAUGGAAGUAUAUAACAACGAGUACAGGGCAGAGAUUAAGAAGUUGAAAGAACAGAUUCUGCAGGCUGAACAGAGUUACAGUUCUGCAUUAGAAGGAAUGAAGAUGGAAAUCUCUCAGCUGACUCGGGAGUUACACCAGCGAGACAUCACUAUUGCCUCCACUAAAAGCUCCUCCUCUGACAUGGAAAAGCGACUCAAAGCAGAGAUACAAAAGGCAGAAGAAAAAGCAGUAGAACAUAAGGAGAUUUUGGAUCAGAUGGAGUCACUCAAGUUAGAAAAUCAUCAUCUUUCUGAAAUGGUGAUGAAAUUGGAAUUGGGUUUACAUGAGGCAAAAGAGAUUUCACUAGCAGACCUCCAGGAGAAUUAUAUUGAGGCCUUAAAUAAAUUAGUGUCUGAAAAUCAACAACUGCAGAAAGAGCUGAUGGAUACUAAAUCUAAGCUGGAGAUUUCUACUCAGAUAUGCAAAAAAAACCAUGAGAGAAUCUUUAAACCGACACACAGCAGAGCACCUGAGUUCAAGAAUACAGAGUUCAAGCCAACCCGUGGCCCGUACAGACACGAUGGAGUAAAGACUGAGCACUGCAAAACAGGUCUUCAUUCUCCGAGACGACAGGCGUUGGAUAGUAUAGAGCCCAUGUCCAGAGUCCUCAGCCCCCUGAGCUCUCAGAUCAGCCCUUGCAGUUCCACCAUCUCUUUGCCUUCUAACUUUCUGUGUAAAACUAGCUCUUUGCCUUCAGCGCUAGAUACAAAUGAUGCCAGUUUUUCUGACACUGUCUCUGAGAGUAUAAAUGACCAGGAAGAGUUUAUGUCUUCGUGUCCCUUGCCUGUGUCUCCUCUUGGUUCAAUAGCUACCAGAUUUUUGGAAGAGGAGGAACUGCGGUCCCAUCAUAUUCUAGAGCGCCUGGAUGCCCAUAUUGAAGAACUUAAAAGAGAGAGUGAAAAGACAGUGAAACAGUUCACCACCCUAAAGUAGCCUUUUUAAAAAAUCACAAACUUGGAAAUAAAAAUGAACCCUGAAGAGUUGCUUUCACCCGACGAAGCAGCUUGUCAAAACACGAACAUGUAAAAAUAGCGAAGAUGAGACAUCCUAACACUGUUGGGAAGAAAUCUGAAAACCUGAUGCUUCUCUAAGGCAUUUUCACUGCACUGGUUUGUUUGAAGAACUUUCUCCAGCAAUAACUUGAUCAGGAUGCUCACAGGAGAUGAAAAGGUAAGGGUGCUCUCAUCUAUUUUUGGUGUUUACGGAUGACAUUGUGUUGGGUGAGUUACCUCAUUCCACUUGGCCGGCAUUCCCAGUGAAGUUUGGUCUGGAUUUCUAUGCAGGUUUUAGCUGAAGAGGACAAAGUGGAGUUCUCACUGUGGGGAGGAUGCUGCCUUUCAGUGGAGCCUCCUUUGAUUUCAAUGAGCCGAGGAUGCAGUGGGUGUCAUUGUUCCCACGUGAUUUAUGUGGCUUACCCAGGGUCCCAGAGCCAGGCUCUCUUUAGCAGAGGCCAGGGGUAGAGAGUGCAGACUCUGCAGGCUGGCGACACUGUUCCUAAUCCUGGCUCUACCGUUAACUGGCUGUGUGACCUUGCACAAGUUAAUUAACUGCUCCAUACCUCAGCUUUCUCAUCUGUAAAACGGGAAGCAAUAAUCAUGCGUCCCUCAUAGGGUUUUUGUGAAGAUUAGUAUUUGUAAAGUACAUAGAACAGUGCCUAGCCUAGUAAGCACCAUGAAAGUAUCUUGUCAAGUAGAAAAAAACCACAACACUGUCUCUCUUAUGUCUUCUCAACUUAAAAAAAAAAAUUCUACCUUCCUUCUCCUACCUAGACACAUAUUGCUUGGUAAACUGGGGUGAUGGUAAUCUGUUUGCAAAACACCCUUGAGUCCAGAAACUAAAAGUUACGGGUGAGAAAAAUAACUAUAAAAUAAGUUCUGUCAUUAAGAACAUGCAUAAACAAACAGGUGUCAUGAAUGGCAGUCAAGGGCAGAAAGGCAAGGUUAGAAAAAGAGAUUUGUUGACUUGUUCUAGAAACAGUUUGAGAUCGCAUGUAAAACGUAUCAAAAAGAAACAGUGGAAUCAGGGCAAAGGGAAAAUGAAGGCCAUCAAUGUCAAUUCACAAAUUAACAGAAUAUCUAGUUCAGUUGCCGGGGACAGGCAGCAACUUUACCUCUGAGGUUUUUGUUUGUUUGUUUUUUUAACGUUUAUUUAUUUCUGAGAGAGAGA
This is an RNA transcript of Acinonyx jubatus (cheetah), 3688 nucleotides long. It is a transcript of the gene named centrosomal protein 63, with no coding region annotated. NCBI's taxonomy places the organism in Eukaryota, Metazoa, Chordata, Mammalia, Carnivora, Felidae. The transcript is spliced from 16 exons. The record is from RefSeq and is a predicted model, not a curated record.